RNAcentral lists this ribosomal RNA (468 nucleotides) under uncultured bacterium. RNAcentral describes it as "partial 16S ribosomal RNA". It matches the Rfam family "Bacterial small subunit ribosomal RNA", at positions 28 to 507 of the family's 1533-position model. The record is from RNAcentral.
GACGAACGCUGGCGGCGUGCUUAACACAUGCAAGUCGAACGGAAAGGCCCUGCUUUUGUGGGGUGCUCGAGUGGCGAACGGGUGAGUAACACGUGAGUAACCUGCCCUUGACUUUGGGAUAACUUCAGGAAACUGGGGCUAAUACCGGAUAGGAGCUCCUGCUGCAUGGUGGGGGUUGGAAAGCUUCGGCGGUUGGGGCUGGACUCGCGGCUUAUCAGCUUGUUGGUGGGGUAGUGGCUUACCAAGGCUUUGACGGGUAGCCGGCCUGAGAGGGUGACCGGCCACAUUGGGACUGAGAUACGGCCCAGACUCCUACGGGAGGCAGCAGUGGGGAAUAUUGCACAAUGGGCGGAAGCCUGAUGCAGCAACGCCGCGUGCGGGAUGACGGCCUUCGGGUUGUAAACCGCUUUCGCCUGUGACGAAGCGUGAGUGACGGUAAUGGGUAAAGAAGCACCGGCUAAGUACGUG